CUAACAAGGAUUCCCCUAGUAACUGCGAGUGAAACGGGAAAAGCUCAAAUUUAAAAUCUGACAGUCUUUGGCUGUUCGAGUUGUAAUCUGGAGAAGCGUCUUCCGUGCUGGACCGUGUACAAGUCUCCUGGAACGGAGCGUCAUAGAGGGUGAGAAUCCCGUCUUUGACACGGACUACCAGUGCUUUGUGAUGCGCUCUCAAAGAGUCGAGUUGUUUGGGAAUGCAGCUCCAAAUGGGUGGUAAACUCCAUCUAAAGCUAAAUAUUGGCGAGAGACCGAUAGCGAACAAGUACCGUGAGGGAAAGAUGAAAAGCACUUUGGAAAGAGAGUUAAACAGUACGUGAAAUUGCUGAAAGGGAAACGCUUGAAGUCAGUCGCGUUUGCUAGGACUCAGCCUUGCCUCGGCUUGGUGCAUUUCCUAGUGAACGGGCCAGCAUCACUUUUGGCUGCGGGAAAAAGGUCAGAGGAAUGUGGCACCUCCGGGUGUGUUAUAGCCUCGGGCUGUAUACCGUGGCUGGGAGUGAGGAACUCAGCACGCCUUAAUGGCGGGGCUUCGGCCACCUUCGUGCUUAGGAUGCUGGCGUAAUGGCUUUAAACGACCCGUCUUGAAACACGGACCAAGGAGUCUAACAUGCCUGCGAGUGUUUGGGUGGAAAACCCGAGCGCGCAAUGAAAGUGAAAGUUGGGACCUCUGUCGUGGAGGGCACCGACGCCCGGACCUGAACCUCGGUGACGGCUCUGCGGUAGAGCAUGCAUGUUGGGACCCGAAAGAUGGUGAACUAUGCCUGAAUAGGGUGAAGCCAGAGGAAACUCUGGUGGAGGCUCGUAGCGAUUCUGACGUGCAAAUCGAUCGUCAAAUUUGGGUAUAGGGGCGAAAGACUAAUCGAACCAUCUAGUAGCUGGUUCCUGCCGA
This 913-nucleotide ribosomal RNA is filed under the name Phanerochaete sp. RNAcentral describes it as "partial large subunit ribosomal RNA". It matches the Rfam family "Eukaryotic large subunit ribosomal RNA", at positions 65 to 964 of the family's 3401-position model. The record is from RNAcentral. Lineage: Eukaryota; Fungi; Basidiomycota; Agaricomycetes; Polyporales; Phanerochaetaceae.